GGUUCAAACUAGUUUCCUUUUGGCCUGAAAAGCUCAAAAACAAUGUUUUAGUGUUUCUGCACUGGUUUCUAACAUUACAGUCUAUGAUGGUCAUGCCUUGGUUGAUUGUAAUGGAAAAAUUUUACCUUAGUGCUGUUUCUUAUCCAACACACUCGUUAUGUGUUGGUUAGGUGCAAUAAUGAACAUUCUUACACAAACAAAUAAUCUCUUGUGCCCUGACGUAUAUCAAGUCUAAACAUCUGAUGUUUCAUUUGACUUACUAAUAAUUUAUGAUAUAUGUUUGUCUUUUACACCUGGACUCUGGCUCCAUCCUAUCUGACUCCCCACCAGACCCAGGGCUGGUAAAGCGAAUGCAUCUUGUCUUGGAAGCUCGGUGUUCCUUCCUUUGGAUAACAAGACAUGACGAUGCAGAAGUGAGAAAGCAAACAUUCUCACUCACAGCGAGAUAAAGUGGCACAAACAUUUCCAUUGCUGCAGAGAGACAUUCCACCAGAGCCAGAGUAAUGGGUUAAAAGGCAGAAGCAACUUGAGGAUCGUGGGCUCUUUGCAUCACACCUUCGUGGUGUGUGCACUGAUCUCCCCAGCUGGUUUUAGGUUUGUUGAUGUGCACGAUCAACAUCCAUGCUUUUUAAGGACUAGGGUCGCUCAGCCUCCAAACCUCUACAGCUGUUCUGAGUGGGAGGACUGCUCACCCGUCUGGAUCGCCUCUGACGAGAUCCAACGAACUGUUUCUGCUCUCUAUUCUAAUGCAGAACUGAGCGCGAUGAGGGUAAAUCCGGAUCUGGACUCCUUUCCCACCAUCAGCAGAAGAACCGAAGGAGAAGAAGCGCCUGACCAACAACCAGAACAGGGUGGAAUCUCUGACACCACAGCAGCUGGAGGACACAGAACACAGCAUGGAGGCCUCACAGACUCCCACAACGUCUGCUGCCAUCACAUUCUGGGCUCAUCAGAUGAACCAGGUACUACAAGCGUGUGUGUCUGAUACAGACACCUGCUUAUGACAAUC
RNAcentral lists this long non-coding RNA (1009 nucleotides) under Betta splendens (Siamese fighting fish). Its description in RNAcentral is "lncRNA (ENSBSLG00000017618.1)". Lineage: Eukaryota; Metazoa; Chordata; Actinopteri; Anabantiformes; Osphronemidae. The record is from RNAcentral.